RNAcentral lists this ribosomal RNA (318 nucleotides) under Triticum aestivum (bread wheat). RNAcentral describes it as "partial small subunit ribosomal RNA". Lineage: Eukaryota; Viridiplantae; Streptophyta; Magnoliopsida; Poales; Poaceae. The record is from RNAcentral.
AUGCUUCGAUUACACCUCGAAGGAAUCGCGAAAAACCAAGUUGCCGUCUAUGAUCCUCUCAGGAAAUGGAUGGACAACUGCUACCGCGGGGUACCCCUUGGCGGACUAGGUUCAGGAAGCAUAGGGAGAAGCUACCGAGGGUACUUUCAGCAGUUUCAAAUAUUCCCCAGGAUCUAUGAAGAGAAGCCUGUCCUUGCCAACCAGUUCUCAGCAUUUGUCUCGCAUCCUGGCGGGAAGAGCUACUCGAUGGUGUUGAAACUGGUAUGCUGCUAUUUUUGUCAGGCUCGCCUUUUCGAUGUGCAAAAUGAUGAGGGAUAA